GAAAGCGAAGGCAGGAGCGUGAGGUGAACUGAAUUUCAGGUGUAGUUUUACUGGAAACCUGCUGAUCCAGUUCCAGAGAGGCAAACAAACCACCUGAGAUCAGCUUCAGGCGUCUCCAGGAGAAAAACACAGAGAACAGCUGCAACACUGAAUAACUAAACAUAUUUGUUUGGUAUUUCUUUAUGCAGAGGCUGAUACUAAAGCUGAUCAAUAACCUACUUUGACUAUAGUAUGCUACAAAGAAACUGAGCUGAAAGUGUAACCUGCACAGCCCCUAACGAGCCUGUGACUGUAAACAGAGCUCAGAAUGGGCACAUGUCAUUUGCAGUUCAGCAUCAGUCAUAUCAGCGCUAUGACAGCAGCUCGUCAUAGACUGAAACAUGAGAGCAGAGCAGACUCAGCACCAAAGAUCUGUUUGUAGACCCUGUGCUGUGGCCUGAUUUGAAUGUCAUUCUUCUGUUUGAUGGCUCUGUGAGGUCAGAUGAGUUGAACUGAAGCUGUUUGGGAGUCUGGGCUUUGCACUGCUUACUGUCAAUUAUUAUGAAAUAAAGCUCCAAGAGAGGGAAAAAAAAAAAGUUAUGCAGUAAGUUUUGUUUUACAAGAAUCGAGAGAGAGAGAGAGAGAGUAGGCCACGCCCACCAGUAGUUUGGUUUAUCAGUGGAAAGUUUCCAACAUUUAUUCUGUGAUUUUACUGGUUUUAGACAUUUGAAUGAUAUAAGGAACAUUGUGCAUGACUCAGAUGGAUGAAUAGAUGCAGAAAAAACAAAUGAGCUCAUUCCAAAUGAAGCAGCUGUCUGGAGGUCAGACUUAAACCCCGAGGCUGCUCUUAUGAACAGGAAACGUAUUUAUUCAUGGACUUCUUAGAUUUAUUUGAACCACAUUUAUAAACCCAGAGUUUUCACUGACAGGAGGAGUGUCUGAAUGUGUGUAUUGUUAGGUAAUAUCAGGAAGUAUUCAUCAGCACUGACACACACAGAGUAAACACGUCUUCUCAUGACUGGACUGCAUUUGAGCUGUUGAUCAGAAACUCCUGAGAGUCCGUUGUGUGUGUAGAAAAGCAGUUUGAAACAGGUUCCUGGAUGAAUCUGCAGCAGCAGCUGAAGCAGCCCAGCUGUUACCACGGGAGCGUUUAGCUGCAAUUCAAAGAAGUGAGAAACUCUCGGCCUUCACAUGUUACUGUCAGUCUGGAUUAUUACAAUAGAAUUUGUGUGACUGUUCCACCAUAAACUGAUGAAGACAAGUUGUUGUUAUGGCUGUGUGGUUGUGUGCAACGAUUAGCUGCAUUAAAGACGUUUAACCAAC
Molecule: long non-coding RNA, 1302 nt
Organism: Oreochromis aureus
Lineage: Eukaryota; Metazoa; Chordata; Actinopteri; Cichliformes; Cichlidae
Source: Ensembl